Molecule: ribosomal RNA, 675 nt
Filed under: Amusium pleuronectes
Lineage: Eukaryota; Metazoa; Mollusca; Bivalvia; Pectinida; Pectinidae
Description: partial 12S ribosomal RNA
Rfam family: Bacterial small subunit ribosomal RNA
Source: RNAcentral
AGUCGCGGUUAAACCUGAGUAGCCCGAGCCAAGUGGGACAGUGUAAAAGGUGGUUAGACGGCCUAUCUUAAAAUUAUUUAAGUAACAAUAAUUAAUUUGGAAAAAAGAAGGACGACCUGAAAGAGUAGGGGUGUAAUCUUAUGUAUUUUUUGAGGGAAGGGGAGCAUCUUUCUUUAGGCUGAGUCCACGGAACCGGUUAACUGAAGACAUGGAUUAGAUACCCAUUUAUUGCCGAUGCAAACUUUGCUUUUAGUGCAGCUGCUUGGGUACUACGAGCGAGUGCUUAAAACUCAAAGAACUUGGCGGCUUGUUAACUACCUAGGGGAAUAUGCGCCUUAAUCCGAUGAUCCCCGUUAUAUCUUACUGAGUCUUGAAAAAGUGCAGCUGGUGUAUUGCCGUUGUCAGCUUGUUGUUCGAGCAGAGAGAAACAGGCUUAAUGGUUUUUAUUUGAUAAGUUUCAUAAAAAUCCAUGAAUUCAGGUCGUAAUACUGCCUAUGGCUCAAGGGAGCGGGUGUUACAAUUUAUACUUAGAAUUACGGAUCUUUAUUGUGGAAUCUUAAAGUGAAGGUGAACUUAGGAGUAAGGGGAGAUUAAUAUGCUUUCCUGAACAUGAAUCUAACUCGUGUACAAACUGCCCGUCGCUCUCGGUGAGAACUGAGAUAAGUCGUAACAAGG